GAUUUCUGGCUUGAAACAUGCUGCCGGCCACGGUUUCGUGUGUUAGUGCAGUUUGUUCUGGCCAUCCUUCCAAUCGCGUCGAUCUGCUCUUCAUUGACUGGACCGGCGUAUUGGAUCUUUUACUUUGAAAAAAUUAGAGUGUUUCAAGCAGGCAUGUUUUGCUAUGAAUACAUUAGCAUGGAAUAAUAAUCUAGGACUUUCGGUUCUAUUUUGUUGGUGUUCUGGAGCUGAAGUAAUGAUUGAUAGGGAUAGUUGGGGGUGCUAGUAUUCAAUGGCCAGAGGUGAAAUUCUCGGAUUCCUUGAAGACUAACUUAUGCGAAAGCAUU
This 326-nucleotide ribosomal RNA is filed under the name Sandonidae sp. RNAcentral describes it as "SSU rRNA". The stretch from base 103 to 326 matches the Rfam family "Eukaryotic small subunit ribosomal RNA", at positions 735 to 955 of the family's 1831-position model. Lineage: Eukaryota; Cercozoa; Glissomonadida; Sandonidae. The record is from RNAcentral.